RNAcentral lists this long non-coding RNA (308 nucleotides) under Manihot esculenta (cassava). RNAcentral's name for it is "long non-coding RNA (MESC_LNC009585)". The record is from RNAcentral. Lineage: Eukaryota; Viridiplantae; Streptophyta; Magnoliopsida; Malpighiales; Euphorbiaceae.
GAGAAGUUCGGCUGCCGAACGUUGCAUGGUUUUGCAUGCAAGUUAGGCCGCCGAAGGAGAGGCGGUCAGCCGCCUAUAAAGGACCCUCAGUCGGUGAAAUGGAUCAGAUUUGCUUCCCUUUCACUAACAAAGGUGAGUUCUUGCUGUCCUUGGAUUGUUUUCAUGGUUUUCUUCAAAUCUGUCAAAGUUAAGCAAGUUUUGAGUAAGUUUUAUGUUGGUUUUGAAGAGUUUAGAGCUUGGAGACUUUUGGAGCUUGGAUCUCCAUAACUUCAAGUUUAGGGUCACACCAGCCUUUGAUCUUCAAGAGG